RNAcentral lists this ribosomal RNA (492 nucleotides) under uncultured bacterium. RNAcentral's name for it is "partial 16S ribosomal RNA". It matches the Rfam family "Bacterial small subunit ribosomal RNA", at positions 29 to 507 of the family's 1533-position model. The record is from RNAcentral.
AGUGAACGCUGGCGGUAUGCCUAACACAUGCAAGUCGAACGGCAGCACAGUAAGAUCUUGCUCUUACGGGUGGCGAGUGGCGUACGUGUGAGGAAUGCAUCGGAAUCUACUUUUUCGUGGGGGAUAACGUAGGGAAACUUACGCUAAUACCGCAUACGACCUACGGGUGAAAGCAGUGGAUCUUCUGACCUUGCGCGAUUGAAUGAGCCGAUGUGGGAUUGGCUAGUUGGCGGGGUAAAGGCCCAGCAAGUGGACGAUCCGCAGCUGGUCUGAGAGGAGGGUCAGCGACAUGGGAAGGGAGACACGGUCAAGACUCCUAAGGGAGGCAGCAGAGGGGAACAGUGGACAAUGGGCGCAAGCCUGAUCCAGCCAUACCGCGUGGGUGAAGAAGGCCUUCGGGUUGUAAAGCCCUUUUGUUGGGAAAGAAAAGCAGCAGGUUAAUACCCCGCUGUUCUGACGGUACCCAAAGAAUAAGCACCGGCUAACUUCGUG